This 72-nucleotide transfer RNA is filed under the name Camelus ferus (Wild Bactrian camel). It matches the Rfam family "tRNA". Rfam says of the family: Transfer RNA (tRNA) molecules are approximately 80 nucleotides in length. Their secondary structure includes four short double-helical elements and three loops (D, anti-codon, and T loops). Further hydrogen bonds mediate the characteristic L-shaped molecular structure. tRNAs have two regions of fundamental functional importance: the anti-codon, which is responsible for specific mRNA codon recognition, and the 3' end, to which the tRNAs corresponding amino acid is attached (by aminoacyl-tRNA synthetases). tRNAs cope with the degeneracy of the genetic code in two manners: having more than one tRNA (with a specific anti-codon) for a particular amino acid; and 'wobble' base-pairing, i.e. permitting non-standard base-pairing at the 3rd anti-codon position. Lineage: Eukaryota; Metazoa; Chordata; Mammalia; Artiodactyla; Camelidae. The record is from Rfam by way of RNAcentral.
GAGGGGAUAGCUCAGUGGUAGAGGGUGUGCUUCGCACAUUUGAGGUCCUGGGUUCAAUCCCCAGUACCUCCA